This 516-nucleotide ribosomal RNA is filed under the name uncultured bacterium. RNAcentral describes it as "bacterial SSU rRNA". It matches the Rfam family "Bacterial small subunit ribosomal RNA", at positions 812 to 1341 of the family's 1533-position model. The record is from RNAcentral.
GAUGCUAGCUGUGGGGGGUAUCGACCCCUUCCGUAGCGAAGCUAACGCGUUAAGCAUCCCGCCUGUGGAGUACGGCCGCAAGGCUAAAACAUAAAGGAAUUGACGGGGACCCGCACAAGCGGUGGAUCGUGUUCUUUAAUUCGAUGAUAAACGAAGAACCUUACCAGGGCUUGACAUCCCGAGAAGGCUUCCGAAAGGAAACUGUGCCGCAAGGAACUCGGUGACAGGUGAUGCAUGGCCGUCGUCAGCUCGUGUCGUGAGAUGUUUGGUUAAGUCCAUCAACGAGCGCAACCCUUGUGAAUAGUUGAAUUUUUCUACUCAGACUGCCCCGGCAACGGGGAGGAAGGAGGGGAUGAUGUCAGGUCAGUAUUUCCCUUACGUCCUGGGCUAGAAACACGAUACAAUGGCUAGUACAAUGCGCAGCAAAGCCGCGAGGUGGAGCAAAUCGCAUCAAAGCUAGUCUCAGUUCGGAUAAGAGGCUGAAACUCGCCUCUUUGAAGUCGGAAUCGCUAGUAA